GCACUGCCGUCGAGUCCCAAAACAGGACGAAACAGCUGUCCGGUGC
Molecule: non-coding RNA, 46 nt
Filed under: Echinostoma caproni
Lineage: Eukaryota; Metazoa; Platyhelminthes; Trematoda; Plagiorchiida; Echinostomatidae
Source: RNAcentral